RNAcentral lists this long non-coding RNA (684 nucleotides) under Homo sapiens (human). RNAcentral's name for it is "HSALNT0389444". The record is from RNAcentral. Lineage: Eukaryota; Metazoa; Chordata; Mammalia; Primates; Hominidae.
CCAGGUGGCUGGAGCUCUGUGGGCCUGGGCCGGGCUGGAAGCUGACCCAGCCCUGGGCUGAGGCCAUGGCUGUGAUCUCCCCCAGGACCGUUCCAUCUUCGCUCUCUUCGUCUUCAGCUCCUUCUGCUUCUUGCCACCAGAUGAACUUCCUGCUGAGUAAUUGGAGCUGGAGAAAUGGUGCAUCCAUCCAGCUGCUGCGCUUGGAGACUUUGAUUAAGGGAAAGAAGCCUCCUCACCAGUCUCAGGAAGAAAAAUCCUAGAGAAGGCUCUGAUUAGACCAACAUGGUCACAUGGCCACCUGUGUAGCAGGAGAGAAAAGGAACACACUGUACGAGAGAGGAGAAGCAGUUCUCUAAGCAGAAGGGAGCUGUUUGUUACUAGAUGAAGGAGACAGAGCACUGGGCAGACAAGUGGAACAGAUGUCCCCUCCAGGGAAAGACCUUGAAUUUCUCCCUUGGACUCUGCUCCUCUCCUAGAGCCUCCUUCCAGUUUGGAAAAAGUUCUCCACUCCCAGUUUGGGUGUAAGGCCUUCACUUACACCCAAGUGUAACUGUGUAAGGCAAUCCUGUUUGAGGUCUGUCAAUCUGAGCUUGACCUUGGCUCUAUGAGCCCUUACUGGGUGGGGGUCUCAGGCAAGUCUGUGCCAUGCAUUUCCUCAUUGCACAUGGGGAUGACAAUGACUGU